UACGGGGGGUGAGCAAGCGUUGUUCGGAUUUACUGGGCGUAAAGGGCGCGUAGGCGGUCAGCACAAGUCAGUUGUGAAAUCUCCGGGCUUAACUCGGAACGGUCAACUGAUACUGUGCGACUAGAGUGCAGAAGGGGCAACUGGAAUUCUCGGUGUAGCGGUGAAAUGCGUAGAUAUCGAGAGGAACACCUGCGGCGAAGGCGGGUUGCUGGGCUGACACUGACGCUGAGGAGCGAAAGCGUGGGGGAGCGAACAGG
This 257-nucleotide ribosomal RNA is filed under the name uncultured bacterium. RNAcentral describes it as "partial 16S ribosomal RNA". It matches the Rfam family "Bacterial small subunit ribosomal RNA", at positions 524 to 776 of the family's 1533-position model. The record is from RNAcentral.